RNAcentral lists this ribosomal RNA (163 nucleotides) under uncultured bacterium. RNAcentral's name for it is "partial 16S rRNA". It matches the Rfam family "Bacterial small subunit ribosomal RNA", at positions 355 to 511 of the family's 1533-position model. The record is from RNAcentral.
UAGGGAAUCUUCCACAAUGGCGAAAGUCUGAUGGAGCAACGCCGCGUGAGUGAAGAAGGGUUUCGGCUCGUAAAACUCUGUUGUUAAAGAAGAACAUAUCUGAGAGUAACUGUUCAGGUAUUGACGGUAUUUAACCAGAAAGCCACGGCUAACUACGUGUCAG